CAUAUAAUUGGUGAAAACAAUGAGGUGAAAAUUUAGAAGAAAAAAUAUAUGUUUUUGAGAAGUUUCAAGGUGUAGAUUGUUGUUGUUUUUGUGGCUUAAAGUCAUUUUGUUCAGUAAAAUUAUCAGUGAAUAUCAGCUUGGUUACUAAAUUCGAUGUGUUACUGCAAAAUCAUUCAACUUUGACUUGGUUUCAAUGCUAUCAGUGUUGCUGGAUUUUGGUAUAAUUUCCACCAGAUUUUGACAUGACAACCUAGUAAAAUUUGCUAAUUUAGUUGUAUAAUUAAAAAUAGGUUAUUAAAUUUUCUUAGCCAACACAUAAAAAAUUUGGCAAAAUGUUUGCAAAAAUUUUGCAAUAAUGAUGUCAUUAAAAGAAAAUCAAAGAUAUGUGAUUUUUGUAUUGCUAAUUGAAGCUUAGUGAUGUGCUUAUUCAGUGAUACAUCUAGACCAUGUGUCAGAUUGAUGCAAGUAGAUAGAGGAGAGGAGAUAUUCAAUGGAGGAAAUUCUAUUUGUACCAGGGAAAAUGGUGGAAGUUCAAUUACUAGAUAAAGAAGAAAAGAGAGAAUCCAGAAGAGAGAGAAAACUAUUAUUGAUCUUCCCUA
This 599-nucleotide unclassified non-coding RNA is filed under the name Hevea brasiliensis (rubber tree). Lineage: Eukaryota; Viridiplantae; Streptophyta; Magnoliopsida; Malpighiales; Euphorbiaceae. The record is from RNAcentral.